CGUGGUAUCCUGUCUGAAUAUGGGGGGACCAUCCUCCAAGGCUAAAUACUCCUGACUGACCGAUAGUGAACCAGUACCGUGAGGGAAAGGCGAAAAGAACCCCGGCGAGGGGAGUGAAAAAGAACCUGAAACCGUGUACGUACAAGCAGUGGGAGCACGCUUAGGCGUGUGACUGCGUACCUUUUGUAUAAUGGGUCAGCGACUUAUAUUCUGUAGCAAGGUUAACCGAAUAGGGGAGCCGAAGGGAAACCGAGUCUUAACUGGGCGUUAAGUUGCAGGGUAUAGACCCGAAACCCGGUGAUCUAGCCAUGGGCAGGUUGAAGGUUGGGUAACACUAACUGGAGGACCGAACCGACUAAUGUUGAAAAAUUAGCGGAUGACUUGUGGCUGGGGGUGAAAGGCCAAUCAAACCGGGAGAUAGCUGGUUCUCCCCGAAAGCUAUUUAGGUAGCGCCUCGUGAAUUCAUCUCCGGGGGUAGAGCACUGUUUCGGCAAGGGGGUCAUCCCGACUUACCAACCCGAUGCAAACUGCGAAUACCGGAGAAUGUUAUCACGGGAGACACACGGCGGGUGCUAACGUCCGUCGUGAAGAGGGAAACAACCCAGACCGCCAGCUAAGGUCCCAAAGUCAUGGUUAAGUGGGAAACGAUGUGGGAAGGCCCAGACAGCCAGGAUGUUGGCUUAGAAGCAGCCAUCAUUUAAAGAAAGCGUAAUAGCUCACUGGUCGAGUCGGCCUGCGCGGAAGAUGUAACGGGGCUAAACCAUGCACCGAAGCUGCGGCAGCGACGCUGAUGCGUUGUUGGGUAGGGGAGCGUUCUGUAAGCCUGCGAAGGUGUGCUGUGAGGCAUGCUGGAGGUAUCAGAAGUGCGAAUGCUGACAUAAGUAACGAUAAAGCGGGUGAAAAGCCCGCUCGCCGGAAGACCAAGGGUUCCUGUCCAACGUUAAUCGGGGCAGGGUGAGUCGACCCCUAAGGCGAGGCCGAAAGGCGUAGUCGAUGGGAAACAGGUUAAUAUUCCUGUACUUGGUGUUACUGCGAAGGGGGGACGGAGAAGGCUAUGUUGGCCGGGCGACGGUUGUCCCGGUUUAAGCGUGUAGGCUGGUUUUCCAGGCAAAUCCGGAAAAUCAAGGCUGAGGCGUGAUGACGAGGCACUACGGUGCUGAAGCAACAAAUGCCCUGCUUCCAGGAAAAGCCUCUAAGCAUCAGGUAACAUCAAAUCGUACCCCAAACCGACACAGGUGGUCAGGUAGAGAAUACCAAGGCGCUUGAGAGAACUCGGGUGAAGGAACUAGGCAAAAUGGUGCCGUAACUUCGGGAGAAGGCACGCUGAUAUGUAGGUGAAGCGACUUGCUCGUGGAGCUGAAAUCAGUCGAAGAUACCAGCUGGCUGCAACUGUUUAUUAAAAACACAGCACUGUGCAAACACGAAAGUGGACGUAUACGGUGUGACGCCUGCCCGGUGCCGGAAGGUUAAUUGAUGGGGUCAGCGCAAGCGAAGCUCUUGAUCGAAGCCCCGGUAAACGGCGGCCGUAACUAUAACGGUCCUAAGGUAGCGAAAUUCCUUGUCGGGUAAGUUCCGACCUGCACGAAUGGCGUAAUGAUGGCCAGGCUGUCUCCACCCGAGACUCAGUGAAAUUGAACUCGCUGUGAAGAUGCAGUGUACCCGCGGCAAGACGGAAAGACCCCGUGAACCUUUACUAUAGCUUGACACUGAACAUUGAGCCUUGAUGUGUAGGAUAGGUGGGAGGCUUGGAAGUGUGGACGCCAGUCUGCAUGGAGCCGACCUUGAAAUACCACCCUUUAAUGUUUGAUGUUCUAACGUUGACCCGUAAUCCGGGUUGCGGACAGUGUCUGGUGGGUAGUUUGACUGGGGCGGUCUCCUCCUAAAGAGUAACGGAGGAGCACGAAGGUUGGCUAAUCCUGGUCGGACAUCAGGAGGUUAGUGCAAUGGCAUAAGCCAGCUUGACUGCGAGCGUGACGGCGCGAGCAGGUGCGAAAGCAGGUCAUAGUGAUCCGGUGGUUCUGAAUGGAAGGGCCAUCGCUCAACGGAUAAAAGGUACUCCGGGGAUAACAGGCUGAUACCGCCCAAGAGUUCAUAUCGACGGCGGUGUUUGGCACCUCGAUGUCGGCUCAUCACAUCCUGGGGCUGAAGUAGGUCCCAAGGGUAUGGCUGUUCGCCAUUUAAAGUGGUACGCGAGCUGGGUUUAGAACGUCGUGAGACAGUUCGGUCCCUAUCUGCCGUGGGCGCUGGAGAACUGAGGGGGGCUGCUCCUAGUACGAGAGGACCGGAGUGGACGCAUCACUGGUGUUCGGGUUGUCAUGCCAAUGGCACUGCCCGGUAGCUAAAUGCGGAAGAGAUAAGUGCUGAAAGCAUCUAAGCACGAAACUUGCC
This 2388-nucleotide ribosomal RNA is filed under the name Escherichia coli. RNAcentral's name for it is "partial 23S ribosomal RNA". It matches the Rfam family "Bacterial large subunit ribosomal RNA", at positions 425 to 2798 of the family's 2925-position model. RNAcentral also lists the same sequence under 1 other name. Lineage: Bacteria; Pseudomonadati; Pseudomonadota; Gammaproteobacteria; Enterobacterales; Enterobacteriaceae. The record is from RNAcentral.